Molecule: ribosomal RNA, 301 nt
Filed under: uncultured bacterium
Lineage: Bacteria
Description: partial 16S ribosomal RNA
Rfam family: Bacterial small subunit ribosomal RNA
Source: RNAcentral
CAGCCGCCGCGGUAAUACGUAGGUGGCAAGCGUUGUCCGGAAUUAUUGGGCGUAAAGGGCUCGCAGGCGGUUUCUUAAGUCUGAUGUGAAAGCCCCCGGCUCAACCGGGGAGGGUCAUUGGAAACUGGGAAACUUGAGUGCAGAAGAGGAGAGUGGAAUUCCACGUGUAGCGGUGAAAUGCGUAGAGAUGUGGAGGAACACCAGUGGCGAAGGCGACUCUCUGGUCCGUAACUGACGCUGAGGAGCGAAAGCGUGGGGAGCGAACAGGAUUAGAUACCCCUGUAGUCCCUGUCUCUUAUAC